UUAAGAGAGGUCCGGCCUAGU
This 21-nucleotide non-coding RNA is filed under the name Arabidopsis thaliana (thale cress). Lineage: Eukaryota; Viridiplantae; Streptophyta; Magnoliopsida; Brassicales; Brassicaceae. The record is from RNAcentral.